RNAcentral lists this long non-coding RNA (682 nucleotides) under Polistes fuscatus (common paper wasp). RNAcentral's name for it is "uncharacterized LOC122518773". Lineage: Eukaryota; Metazoa; Arthropoda; Insecta; Hymenoptera; Vespidae. The record is from RNAcentral.
ACUGAGGACGCGACGUUGCGACGGAAUGCAUUUAAACGUCGGAAAAUAAUGGCGAGAAGAAGUUGCAACGUGCUUUUGCGAAUAAUUUCAUAUACCUGGGGGAUCUGGUGGUUGAGAAUAGCAACAUCUAGAAAGACCUCUCUUGAUCCUUACUAUCAUAUCGGAGACCUCAUCGGCCAGACGCUCACCUAAACCUCCUAAGAGAUGUUUGCUCAGCCUGAGAUAAAAGCAGGAACACAUUCCAUCACACUAUUCGAUUCUUCCUAUUGUCAAGCCCAACAAUUUUUUACUUUUUUCUUUCUUUCUAUACACUUUGAUUAUUUAACUAUUUCGUGGAUAUGAGGAUAACAGAUGUAAAAUAAUAAACAUUUGAUCGUAAAAAUUAAUCUCACAUUUUCACGUAAAUUGUUGUUAUGCGUUUGAUCUUGCGAUCGUAUUUGCAAAUACAAAUCGUGUAUUGCAAAUCGUGAUACAUUGUUACCGAUAUUUUUGAUAUCAGACUCGACGUAUCGAUCGACAUCUUUGUGUCGAUCAUAAAUAAAAGAUCCCCCUCCCCUCAAAAAAAUUAGAGUCGAAGAAAAAUCAUUCGUGUAUUAUAUGCAUUUAAAUAAACAGUACGGUAGUUCGUGAUCGACUGACAGAAAAUUGCAAAGUGCAUCGUCAAGUUGUUGCAUGACAGAGA